CGGAAACGUUGUAAAGCCCUUUUAUAGACGAGGAAUAAGCCUGGGAGGGAAUGCCCGGGUGAUGACGGUAGUCUGUGAAUAAGCCCCGGCUAAUUACGUGC
RNAcentral lists this ribosomal RNA (101 nucleotides) under uncultured bacterium. Its description in RNAcentral is "partial 16S ribosomal RNA". The record is from RNAcentral.